Aegilops tauschii subsp. strangulata is the source of this 817-nucleotide non-coding RNA. Lineage: Eukaryota; Viridiplantae; Streptophyta; Magnoliopsida; Poales; Poaceae. The record is from RefSeq and is a predicted model, not a curated record.
CUAUCGCAACUCGCAACGGCACGGCGGCCACAUCCCCCACAUCGUCGCCUCAGCCGCGGCGCCCUCCCGUCGGCCGCAAUGCCGCUUACCCCCCACCCCCCAGCGGCCCCCGCGCGCCGUCCCUCCUCGGCACAGGCUUCGCCAAGGUUAGGGGACGGACUGGACGCGGGUGGGCGUCGCCGGAGACGACGAGGAAGCGGCUGGCCUCGAGCCCUCGACCCACGACCGCUAUCGUGGGAGGUCGUCUCACCGUGCCCUCACGGGCCGAGGCCCGGGAGGCAAGUGUAGCCCCGAGUAACGCGUCUCCGGGAGGGGCUGGGGGGAUAUGGGCGGUGAUGAGGCCGCAGCUUGCUCGGGGAGGCCAGGGUCGGAUCCGCGCCGGAGUCCCAGUGCCUGCCGCCAUGGCGGCGAGCUUGUCCCUGUCUUGUAACCGUCACCGAUCCAGCCAUUGGGACACGAGCAAGUAUAAUUUCCUUGGGUGUUGUGGCAGAAGUACCGAAGGGUGCAAUUGUUGCCACCGGGAGCCCCACAUUCGUUGAUAUCUAAACCAACAGUGCAGCACUUCAUUUGAGAAAUCAGAGAAGCAUAUUUCUAUUCAUAAAAGCAGGCUGAGUAAUACUAGAAUUUCUUAUACUACUGAACUUGAUUGUCCUGUUUGGCAGUUUACCCCGUGGUUUAUAAUUUUAUAUUCAGUUAGUUCCAUUUAUGCAAGUGAUGAAACCGAGUUAUACUCAUACUGUCUCGACCUCGAUAUUCCCUCCGGAACCCAUGUAUAUUUUCUAGGCUUUUUGCUGAUGAUGGCUGUUUCACAGGAUAA